UCUCCCAGUCGGGGAAACGUGUGGUUCUGUCAGCUGGUUUCUCACGGGGGAAAGCCAGCCAAGCACCUGUGGCCUGCCCAUACCUACCAGCAGCCCAGCAGCAGCUCUUAAUACUGAGCAGCUGCCGUGGCACACUGCCUACAGCCCACUGGAGAGUGCUGAAGGCCCCCGGUUCACACAUUCACAGCGCCUGUGGGCACCAACUGCUCCGCCAGAUAAGGCCAAAAUCAUUUCUAGAAAUGGUUCUACCUCAAAUUUAUCCUCUUCCUAUUUCUUUUUCACAUUGCAGUUCUCUGCCAUGCAUUUAUUGUUAACAUCUUAAUUCAUUACCCCAGUUUGAGCAACUUUGACUCGCACAAUCGUUGCUUUUGUAGCCACAGCUGAACAGAACAGAAUGAAAAAGAAAGAAAAGCACAAGAAAAAAGAUCCUAAAGACAGUAGCACUGUGUACAUUCUGUUUUGCUGUCUGACAGCACAGAGAGAGAAGUGUCACAAAAAGUAUUUGCAGAUUUGGGCAAAGCAUGUGCAGUCUCAGUAGCAGAACAGAUCUUGAGAAACAGAAAGUCAGAAGGCUGAAGGGGCAUCUUUAAUUUUCAAGCUGCAAGGGGAAAAGCAACAGCAUCAGAAAGAGAAGAUGGAAAUGGUGGUCCCAGUGACUCAUCUUGAGGGAGGAGAAAACAGGAGGAGGCACUGUAAGGACAUCUGCUGGAGCACCUCGUGCUGGCCUUUGCUGUGCAAUGGUGGAUGUUGUGACAGAGAUAACUUUGCAGCCUGUAAGGGAGGAGGAUCCUCUCCAACAAACAGAAGAGGCAGCUUCCUAGAACUCAACCAGGAACUCAGUGAUGGGUCAUGCACAGCACCACACUGUACAGAGGUAUCUCAGCAGGCCUUAUAGGCUGGAAACGGAGUCAUUUGCUCCAGAGUCAUUAGGGCUGUGCUUCCACCUCCAUGCACCCACGGUGAGGACAGGGAGCAGAGGCACAUGCUUAAUGGUUUCAAUACAGGGGAAACAGAAGGAAGCCUGUUUUACUCCACUUCAUGUAAUAAUUCCUAUACUGCAAGAAAACAAUUAAUUAAAAAAAUAAGUUACCUGGCAAAAUUGUAAUGUUUUCUAUCAAAGGAUUGAUUCUAAAAUAAAUACCACACAUGUGGCGUGCUGGACAUUACACAGCACUUGUACAUCAAAGUAAUCCAAAGCUUAAUGGCCAUACCCGGAGGCAUGCAGAAUGCACC
RNAcentral lists this long non-coding RNA (1233 nucleotides) under Pavo cristatus (Indian peafowl). RNAcentral describes it as "lncRNA (ENSPSTG00000010669.1)". The record is from RNAcentral. Lineage: Eukaryota; Metazoa; Chordata; Aves; Galliformes; Phasianidae.